Molecule: ribosomal RNA, 493 nt
Filed under: uncultured bacterium
Lineage: Bacteria
Description: partial 16S ribosomal RNA
Rfam family: Bacterial small subunit ribosomal RNA
Source: RNAcentral
AGUGAACGCUGGCGGUAGGCCUAACACAUGCAAGUCGAACGGCAGCACAGUAAGAGCUUGCUCUUACGGGUGGCGAGGGGCGGACGGGUGCGGAAUACAUCGGAAUCUACUUUUUCGUGGGGGCUAACGUAGGGAAACUUACGCUAAUACCGCAUACGACCUAAGGGUGAAAGCAGGGGAUCUUCGGACCUUGCGCGAGUGAAUGAGCCGAUGUCGGAUUAGCUAGUUGGCGGGGUAAAGGCCCACCAAGGCGACGAUCCGUAGCGGGGCUGAGAGGAUGGUUCGCCCCCCUGGGACUGAGACACGGUCCCGACUCCUUCGGGGGGCAGCAGGGGGGAAUUUUUGGCCAUGGGCGCAAGCCUUAUCCCGCCAUUCCGCGUUGGUUAAGAAGGCCUUCGGGUUGUUAAGCCCUUUUGUUGGGGAAGAAAAGCAGCUGGGUAAUACCCCGCUUUUCUGGCGGUACCCAAAGAAUAAGCCCCGGCUAACUUCGUUC